AUGGGAGAAGAGAAGGUGAAAGAAGAGGCAAUGCGGCUUAUUGGGAUCUUCUAGCUUCUUCCCCGUUUGGUCGUAUUCGAUCUUGAUUACACUCUCUGGCCUUUCUACUGCGAGUGUCGCUCCAAACUUGAAAUGCCAUCUUUGUACCCCCCAUGCUAAAGGCAUAUUAUCUGCACUCAAGGACAAGGGGAUUAACUUAGCAAUCGCAUCUAGAUCUCCGACCCCGGAUAUAGCAAAUGCGUUCCUUAACAAAUUGAGCGUCGAUUCUAUGUUUGUUACAAAGGAAUUUUUUUUCCAGCUGGAAGAACAAGACGGAUCAUUUCCAGAAAAAUCAUUCAAAGACUGGGAUCCCCUUCAAUUCAAUGCUCUUUUUUUUUGACGAUAUGAGCAUAGGAACAUACAAGCUGUUUCAAAGAUGGGAGUGACGAGCAUAUGUGUUGAUAAUGGGGUUAGUCUGGGAGCAUUGAGACAAGGGCUGACAAAAUUUGCUGAAAAUCUAAAAUGCAUCAG
Molecule: long non-coding RNA, 510 nt
Organism: Hibiscus syriacus
Lineage: Eukaryota; Viridiplantae; Streptophyta; Magnoliopsida; Malvales; Malvaceae
Exons: 4
Source: RefSeq, a predicted model, not a curated record